UUUUAAAUGUGAGCGGGACAGAAAACCUGUGCGCGUACAUUUAAGAAUUGAGGAUACUGAGCUGAAGUAUUCCCUUUUAACGAAAAUGUAUCAAAAAAUAUGUGCAGUAAUAACCCGCUCGAUUGCGUGCCAAAUGAAGUCUUGAAGAUAAAAGUUUGAGUCCCCCUCCUGCCCCUCCUCUCCAGAAUAUCAGUAAGUGAGAUACGGAGGUCUUGAGGAGUACACCUGGUGGUCCAGCACUGAAAGUGAACUGACCUGACUGAACUACGGAGGUCAUCUCAGGGGUGGACAUCAGAGGUUGGCGACGGAGCAGCGGUCCUGCCCGGGGGGCAACAGCUGCAGGAAGUGUGUAGCAGUGGAGGAGGAGGAGGAGGAGAAAAGGGAUGAAGGAGAGCAAGAAAGCUUUGGGAAAGAAACCAUCGCUUGCGUUACAGGCAUUUUGUGUAAAACCAUUAAAGGCAUUUACCGUAAACCCAA
This is a long non-coding RNA of Anguilla rostrata (American eel), 477 nucleotides long. RefSeq lists it as uncharacterized. The record is from RefSeq and is a predicted model, not a curated record. NCBI's taxonomy places the organism in Eukaryota, Metazoa, Chordata, Actinopteri, Anguilliformes, Anguillidae. The transcript has 3 exons.